UUCGACCUACGGGAGGCAGCAGUGGGGAAUAUUGCACAAUGGGGGGAACCCUGAUGCAGCGACGCCGCGUGGGUGAAGAAGUCAUUCGUGACGUAAAGCCCUAUCAGCAGGGAAGAAAAUGACGGUACCUGACUAAGAAGCCCCGGCUAACUACGUGCCAGCAGCCGCGGUAAUACGUAGGGGGCAAGCGUUAUCCGGAUUUACUGGGUGUAAAGGGAGCGUAGACGGCAGUGCAAGUCCGGAGUGAAAGCCCGGGGCUCAACCCUGGGACUGCUCUGGAAACUGUAAAGCUGGAGUGCGGGAGG
RNAcentral lists this ribosomal RNA (305 nucleotides) under uncultured bacterium. RNAcentral's name for it is "bacterial SSU rRNA". It matches the Rfam family "Bacterial small subunit ribosomal RNA", at positions 331 to 655 of the family's 1533-position model. The record is from RNAcentral.